Long non-coding RNA from Sinocyclocheilus rhinocerous, 469 nucleotides. RefSeq lists it as uncharacterized. The transcript has 3 exons. The record is from RefSeq and is a predicted model, not a curated record. Lineage: Eukaryota; Metazoa; Chordata; Actinopteri; Cypriniformes; Cyprinidae.
AGACUUUUUAAUUGUAUUGAUUGGCUAUAAGGCUACCGAAGCAGAUGAGGGCCGGCCUGAUAUCCCCCUGUCACCUUGACCUUGGGCCAGGAGUAGCCUUGUGACCUCCGACCCUAUAACCCCAACCGCCGACCUCCGUAAUCCUGCUGCGUGGACAAUCUACAGGGAAAAGCGUCACAGUUGUCUCCAAAUGAGAAUUGACUUUCCUCGCCUUGAAUGCUGGAAAUGUGGGUUAAAGUAUGUCAAUAAUGUUUCACAAGAACAAUUUUCCCCCCAGUAUAGUCGACGCUGAAAUUAAUUGACAUUUUUUGCAGAGGAAGGGUCCGGGCCUGCGCUGUACGAAAGCACUUGAAGGGAGUUCUUGGACGCUAACCGCUUGGCCGUAUUGAUCGCACGCUUAAAGUGCACACACACACUCUGAAGAGCAUUGAGAUUCAGACACAGGGCACAGGGAGCCCAUGCACACCAC